GACGAACGCUGGCGGCGUGCUUAACACAUGCAAGUCGAGCGGAAAGGCCCUUCGGGGUCCUCGAGCGGCGAACGGGUGAGUAACACGUGAGUAACCUGCCCCAGACUUUGGGAUAACCCUCGGAAACGGGGGCUAAUACCGGAUACGACACAGCUUCGCAUGGGGUCUGUGUGGAAAGUUUUUCGGUUUGGGAUGGGCUCGCGGCCUAUCAGCUUGUUGGUGGGGUGAUGGCCUACCAAGGCGACGACGGGUAGCCGGCCUGAGAGGGCGACCGGCCACACUGGGACUGAGACACGGCCCAGACUCCUACGGGAGGCAGCAGUGGGGAAUAUUGCACAAUGGGCGGAAGCCUGAUGCAGCGACGCCGCGUGAGGGAUGACGGCCUUCGGGUUGUAAACCUCUUUCAGCAGGGACGAAGCGUAAGUGACGGCACCUGCAGAAGAAGCGCCGGCCAACUACGUG
This 462-nucleotide ribosomal RNA is filed under the name uncultured bacterium. RNAcentral's name for it is "partial 16S ribosomal RNA". It matches the Rfam family "Bacterial small subunit ribosomal RNA", at positions 28 to 507 of the family's 1533-position model. The record is from RNAcentral.